GGCGGGAUGCCGGAGUGGACGAACGGGACUGUUUCGAAAACAGUUGUGCCCGAAAGGGUACCGGAGGUUCGAAUCCUCCUCCCGCCGCCA
Molecule: transfer RNA, 90 nt
Filed under: Candidatus Spechtiibacteriota bacterium
Lineage: Bacteria; Candidatus Spechtiibacteriota
Description: tRNA-Ser
Rfam family: tRNA
About the family: Transfer RNA (tRNA) molecules are approximately 80 nucleotides in length.
Source: RNAcentral